AAAUGAAUAGACGGGGGCCCGCACAAGCGGUGGAGCAUGUGGCUUAAUUCGAGGCAACGCGAAAAACCUUACCCAGGCUUGACAUGUAGGGGACCGGCUGUGAAAGCAGCCUUCUCUUCGGAGCCCUUAUGCAGGUGCUGCAUGGCUGUCGUCAGCUCGUGCUGUGAAGUGUUCGGUUAAGUCCGGCAACGAGCGCAACCCACGUGAUUAUUUGCCAGCGGGUAAAGCCGGGAACUAUAAUCAGACUGCCCGUGUUAAGCGGGAGGAAGGCGUGGAUGACGUCAAGUCCGUAUGGCCUUUAUGCCUGGGGCUGCACACGUGCUACAAUGGACGGUACAAUGGGGAGCAAUGCCGCGAGGCGGAGCAAAUCCUGAAAACCGUUCUUAGUUCGGAUUGGAGUCUGCAACUCGACUCCAUGAAGCCGGAAUCGCUAGUAAAGGCGUAUCAGCUACGACGCCUUGAAUACGUUCCCGGGCCUUGUACACACCGCCCGU
RNAcentral lists this ribosomal RNA (494 nucleotides) under uncultured bacterium. RNAcentral describes it as "bacterial SSU rRNA". It matches the Rfam family "Bacterial small subunit ribosomal RNA", at positions 903 to 1397 of the family's 1533-position model. The record is from RNAcentral.